CAGUAGCCACGGUAAUACAGAGGGUGCAAGCGUUAAUCGGAAUUACUGGGCGUAAAGCGCGCGUAGGUGGUUUGUUAAGUUGGAUGAGAAAUCCCCGGGCUCAACCUGGGAACUGCAUCCAAAACUGGCAAGCUAGAGUAUGGUAGAGGGUGGUGGAAUUUCCUGUGUAGCGGUGAAAUGCGUAGAUAUAGGAAGGAACACCAGUGGCGAAGGCGACCACCUGAACUGAUACUGACACUGAGGUGCGAAAGCGUGGGGAGCAAACAGGAUUAGAUACCCCUGUAGUCCCUGUCUCUUAUAC
Molecule: ribosomal RNA, 301 nt
Filed under: uncultured bacterium
Lineage: Bacteria
Description: partial 16S ribosomal RNA
Rfam family: Bacterial small subunit ribosomal RNA
Source: RNAcentral